This 497-nucleotide ribosomal RNA is filed under the name uncultured bacterium. RNAcentral's name for it is "partial 16S ribosomal RNA". It matches the Rfam family "Bacterial small subunit ribosomal RNA", at positions 28 to 507 of the family's 1533-position model. The record is from RNAcentral.
GAUGAACGCUGGCGGCGUGCCUAAUACAUGCAAGUCGAGCGAACAGACGAGGAGCUUGCUCCUCUGACGUUAGCGGCGGACGGGUGAGUAACACGUGGAUACCCUACCUAUAAGACUGGGAUAACUUCGGGAAACCGGAGCUAAUACCGGAUAAUAUAUUGAACCGCAUGGUUCAAUAGUGAAAGACGGUUUUGCUGUCACUUAUAGAUGGAUCCGCGCCGCAUUAGCUAGUUGGUAAGGUAACGGCUUACCAAGGCGACGAUGCGUGGCCGACCUGAGAGGGUGGUCGGCCACACUGGAACUGAGACACGGUCCAGACUCCUACGGGAGGCAGCAGUAGGGAAUCGGCCGCAAUGGGCGAAAGCCUGACGGAGCAACGCCGCGUGAGUGAUGAAGGUCUUCGGAUCGUAAAACUCUGUUAUGAGGGAAGAACAAAUGUGUAAGUAACUAUGCACGUCUUGACGGUACCUAAUCAGAAAGCCACGGCUAACUACGUG